UGGGGAAUUUUGCACAAUGGGGGAAACCCUGAUGCAGCGACGCCGCGUGAUUUAGAAGGCCUUCGGGUUGUAAUAAUCUUUUCUAUGGGAAGAAAAUGACAGUACCAUAGGAAUAAGGACCGGCUAAUUACGUGCCAGCAGCCGCGGUAAUACGUAAGGUCCGAGCGUUGUCCGGAAUCAUUGGGCGUAAAGGGUACGUAGGCGGGUAAGCAAGUUAGAAGUGAAAUCCUAUAGCUCAACUAUAGUAAGCUUUUAAAACUGCUCAUCUUGAGGUAUGGAAGGGAAAGUGGAAUUCCUAGUGUAGCGGUGAAAUGCGCAGAUAUUAGGAGGAAUACCGGUGGCGAAGGCGACUUUCUGGCCAUAACCUGACGCUGAGGUACGAAAGCGUGGGUAGCAAACAGGA
Molecule: ribosomal RNA, 403 nt
Filed under: bacterium
Lineage: Bacteria
Description: partial 16S ribosomal RNA
Rfam family: Bacterial small subunit ribosomal RNA
Source: RNAcentral